Molecule: small RNA, 345 nt
Filed under: Histoplasma capsulatum
Lineage: Eukaryota; Fungi; Ascomycota; Eurotiomycetes; Onygenales; Ajellomycetaceae
Also listed under: 1 other name
Description: hypothetical RNA
Source: RNAcentral
GUUCUCUUUCACAGUACCCACUGCAAGAUUACUAUGGGUCCCAUGCUUCUCCCUCCACCUCUUGAGCGAAUCGUUCUUCGCCUGUGAGUUCACCUGUAAAUAAACCUUCUUAAUGCCAUUUUGCACCUCGCCUGCAUCUAGUCGGACCUGGAACUUGGUGUCAUUAUCCUUCGCUUGCGCCGGUGCAAUACGCUUUCCUGGUGUUUGCUUCUGGAACAACUUUUUAUAAAGUCCCCUCUUAAAAAGAGCUUCCUCAAACUGCUUGAGAACCUUAGACAUAGCUUUUGUAAAUUAAGGCUUAUUGAAAUUCAAGAAAAAUGUAUGUUUAUCAACAUUGAUGUAAGC